Molecule: transfer RNA, 62 nt
Filed under: Bemisia sp. PB-2004
Lineage: Eukaryota; Metazoa; Arthropoda; Insecta; Hemiptera; Aleyrodidae
Description: tRNA-Asp
Source: RNAcentral
AAAAACUUAGUUAAAUAAUAAUACUAGCUAGUCAAGCUUGAGUUAAUCAAAAUUAGUUUUUA